RNAcentral lists this ribosomal RNA (952 nucleotides) under Anabaena sp. FACHB-1391. RNAcentral's name for it is "bacterial SSU rRNA". It matches the Rfam family "Bacterial small subunit ribosomal RNA", at positions 1 to 996 of the family's 1533-position model. Lineage: Bacteria; Bacillati; Cyanobacteriota; Cyanophyceae; Nostocales; Nostocaceae. The record is from RNAcentral.
AAAAUGGAGAGUUUGAUCCUGGCUCAGGAUGAACGCUGGCGGUAUGCUUAACACAUGCAAGUCGAACGGUCUUUUCGGAGACAGUGGCGGACGGGUGAGUAACGCGUAAGAAUCUACCCUCAGGUCGGGGACAACCACUGGAAACGGUGGCUAAUACCGGAUGUGCCGAGAGGUGAAAGGCUUGCUGCCUGGGGAAGAGCUUGCGUCUGAUUAGCUAGUUGGUAGUGUAAGAGACUACCAAGGCGACGAUCAGUAGCUGGUCUGAGAGGAUGAUCAGCCACACUGGGACUGAGACACGGCCCAGACUCCUACGGGAGGCAGCAGUGGGGAAUUUUCCGCAAUGGGCGAAAGCCUGACGGAGCAAUACCGCGUGAGGGAGGAAGGCUCUUGGGUUGUAAACCUCUUUUCUCAGGGAAGAAAAAAAUGACGGUACCUGAGGAAUAAGCAUCGGCUAACUCCGUGCCAGCAGCCGCGGUAAUACGGAGGAUGCAAGCGUUAUCCGGAAUGAUUGGGCGUAAAGGGUCCGCAGGUGGCAUUGAAAGUCUGCUGUUAAAGAGUUUGGCUCAACCAAAUAAAAGCAGUGGAAACUACAAAGCUAGAGUUUGGUCGGGGCAGAGGGAAUUCCUGGUGUAGCGGUGAAAUGCGUAGAUAUCAGGAAGAACACCAGUGGCGAAGGCGCUCUGCUAGGCCGAGACUGACACUGAGGGACGAAAGCUAGGGGAGCGAAUGGGAUUAGAUACCCCAGUAGUCCUAGCCGUAAACGAUGGAUACUAGGCGUAGCUCGUAUCGACCCGAGCUGUGCCGGAGCUAACGCGUUAAGUAUCCCGCCUGGGGAGUACGCAGGCAACUGUGAAACUCAAAGGAAUUGACGGGGGCCCGCACAAGCGGUGGAGUAUGUGGUUUAAUUCGAUGCAACGCGAAGAACCUUACCAAGGCUUGACAUGUCACGAAU